UCCGCCUUAGUGGCGCCCGGGUGCCUAACGCGUGGGAAUCUGCCCUUGGGUUCGGAAUAACAGUUAGAAAUGACUGCUAAUACCAAAUGAUGUCUCAAGACCAAAGAUUUAUCGCCCAAGGAUGAGCCCGCGUCGGAUUAGCUAGUUGGUGAGGUAAAGGCUUACCAAGGCGACGAUCCUUAGCUGGUCUGAGAGGAUGAUCAGCCACACUGGGACUGAGACACGGCCCAGACUCCUACGGGAGGCAGCAGUGGGGAAUAUUGUACAAUGGGCGAAAGCCUGAUCCAGCAAUGCCGCGUGAGUGAUGAAGGCCUUAGGGUUGUAAAGCUCUUUUACCCGGGAUGAUAAUGACUGUACCGGAAGAAUAAGCUCCGGCUAACUCCGUGCCAGCAGCCGCGGUAAU
Molecule: ribosomal RNA, 403 nt
Filed under: uncultured Sphingomonas sp.
Lineage: Bacteria; Pseudomonadati; Pseudomonadota; Alphaproteobacteria; Sphingomonadales; Sphingomonadaceae
Description: bacterial SSU rRNA
Rfam family: Bacterial small subunit ribosomal RNA
Source: RNAcentral